GACGAACGCUGGCGGCGUGCUUAACACAUGCCAGUCGAACGGAAAGGCCCUGCUUUUGUGGGGUGCUCGAGUGGCGAACGGGUGAGUAACACGUGAGUAACCUGCCCUUGACUUUGGGAUAACUUCAGGGAACUGGGGCGAAUACCGGAUAGGAGCUCCUGCUGCACGGGGGGGGUUGGAAAGUUUCGGCGGUUGGGGCUGGACUCGCGGCUUAUCGGCUGGUUGGUCGGGUAGUGGAUUACCAAGGCUUUGAGGGGUAGGCGGCCUGGGAGGGUGACCGGCCACAUUAGGCCUGAGGUACGGCCCAGACUGCUACGGGAGGCAGCAGUGGGGAGUAUUGCACAAUGGGCGGACGCCUGAUGCAGCGGCGCCGCGUGCGGGAUGACGGCCUUCGGGUUGUAAACCGCUUUCGCCUGUGCCGAAGCGUGAGUGACGGUAAUGGGUCAAGAAGCACCGGCUAACUACGUG
Molecule: ribosomal RNA, 468 nt
Filed under: uncultured bacterium
Lineage: Bacteria
Description: partial 16S ribosomal RNA
Rfam family: Bacterial small subunit ribosomal RNA
Source: RNAcentral